This 67-nucleotide transfer RNA is filed under the name Scymninae sp. 4 ACP-2013. RNAcentral's name for it is "tRNA-Trp". The record is from RNAcentral. Lineage: Eukaryota; Metazoa; Arthropoda; Insecta; Coleoptera; Coccinellidae.
AAGGAUUUAAGUUAAACAAACUAAUAACCUUCAAAGUUACAAAUAGAAAAAGAAAUUCUAAGCCUUA